RNAcentral lists this ribosomal RNA (253 nucleotides) under uncultured bacterium. RNAcentral describes it as "partial 16S ribosomal RNA". It matches the Rfam family "Bacterial small subunit ribosomal RNA", at positions 524 to 776 of the family's 1533-position model. The record is from RNAcentral.
UACGGAGGGUGCAAGCGUUGUCCGGAAUCACUGGGCGUAAAGGGCGCGUAGGCGGCUCAUGAAGGCUGUGGUGAAAGUCCGGGGCUCAACCUCGGAUCGGCCGUGGCGACUCGUGGGCUGGAGCACUGUAGAGGCGGGUGGAAUUCCGGGUGUAGCGGUGGAAUGCGUAGAGAUCCGGAAGAACACCAGUGGCGAAGGCGGCCCGCCGGGCAGUGGCUGACGCUGAGGCGCGACAGCGUGGGGAGCAAACAGG